AUUGAACGCUGGCGGCAGGCUUAACACAUGCAAGUCGAACGGUAACAGGGAGCUUGCUCCGCUGACGAGUGGCGAACGGGUGAGUAAUGCGUCGGAACGUGCCGAGUAGUGGGGGAUAACGCAGCGAAAGUUGUGCUAAUACCGCAUACGUACUGAGGUAGAAAGUGGGGGACCUUCGGGCCUCACGCUAUUCGAGCGGCCGACGUCUGAUUAGCUAGUAGGUGAGGUAAAGGCUCACCUAGGCGACGAUCAGUAGCGGGUCUGAGAGGAUGAUCCGCCACACUGGGACUGAGACACGGCCCAGACUCCUACGGGAGGCAGCAGUGGGGAAUUUUGGACAAUGGGCGAAAGCCUGAUCCAGCCAUGCCGCGUGUCUGAAGAAGGCCUUCGGGUUGUAAAGGACUUUUGUCGGGGAGGAAAUCCCCAGCGCUAAUACCGCUGGGGGAUGACAGUACCUGAAGAAUAAGCACCGGCUAACUACGUGCCAGCCGCCGCAGUAA
RNAcentral lists this ribosomal RNA (500 nucleotides) under uncultured bacterium. Its description in RNAcentral is "partial 16S ribosomal RNA". It matches the Rfam family "Bacterial small subunit ribosomal RNA", at positions 30 to 523 of the family's 1533-position model. The record is from RNAcentral.